GGACCCAUAGCUCAGCGGUAGAGCAUCUGAUUCCAGUAGUAACCAUUACUGCCUCCAGAAGGUCAUCCGUUCAAAUCGGGUUGGGUUCA
This 89-nucleotide transfer RNA is filed under the name Xylaria grammica. Its description in RNAcentral is "tRNA-Trp". It matches the Rfam family "tRNA". From Rfam's summary of the family: Transfer RNA (tRNA) molecules are approximately 80 nucleotides in length. Their secondary structure includes four short double-helical elements and three loops (D, anti-codon, and T loops). RNAcentral also lists the same sequence under 1 other name. Lineage: Eukaryota; Fungi; Ascomycota; Sordariomycetes; Xylariales; Xylariaceae. The record is from RNAcentral.